This 637-nucleotide small RNA is filed under the name Histoplasma capsulatum var. duboisii H88. RNAcentral describes it as "Histoplasma capsulatum H88 hypothetical RNA". The record is from RNAcentral. Lineage: Eukaryota; Fungi; Ascomycota; Eurotiomycetes; Onygenales; Ajellomycetaceae.
AGAAAGGAUCAUCCAGUCUAAAUGGAAUUAUAGCCAGAUACAAAAGCUGGCUGUGGGGAACCCGCAAGCACGGGGAUAGGCUCAUUUGUGUGAGUGCAGUAGCGCAAUCGAAUUAGUACCUGGACACAUCUCUCCCAAACAACCAAUUCGAGAACCAGGAGAGCAAUAUCCUCAGCCGAUUUCUCCAACUCAUGCUCAUGGAUAGGUAUGCUCCUUUCCAAAUCAGCCAUGCCGGGUAGCCUUUUAUACCGCGAAAAAAUCCAUUGUUGUUUGGCUCACUACCGCCCUCAUGUGGCAGCUGCAUCAACGCUUUAGAACUGCCAAUAUAUGCAAGGACUCCGAGAUUCUUGAACGAGAAGCCGGGUGACAGGUCAAGAUUACCCCGAUUGAGUACAUUGGCCAGCCAGAUGGCUUCUUGACUUGUCGCUUGAGCGGUCGCUGGGGGGGAGCCAGACUCUAACAUACAGGUGGCUAUCCACGAGAAGGGCGCCAACUUUAGGAGUCUUAUGCACUUUCCAGGUUGUAUUUUGGGGUUCAGUGACAGGGCUUCCAGUGUCCUUUGAGAGAGCAGACAAUAUUGGAAAUGGAUCGAUUGUAUUGAGUGCUUUGUUGACGAAUGGGCCAAUUUCGUUACCUG